UCUCAACAAUUAGGAAUGAAAUUUUUUUAGUUUUCCAACAAUACCUUUGAUUUUUUAUUAUUAAAAGUUAAUAUUAUGAAGAGGUUUUUUUAGGCUCAAUAUUCAAAAAUUAUAACAGGACUAAGUUAGUCCAAAAAAACUGAAUUAAAUGUGUUCAAGAUCGAACAAUCCAUAAUUAACGAUAGUCCGACUGUCCAUCAAAUAAUCAAAUCUAGCCAAUUCAGGUAUAUCGUAGUGCUUGAGACGAUGUGCGGAUAAUUUUGGGUCUACAACAGAUCACCAAUUGCCGGCUAACGCGCAGCCACCGACGACAGUGGUUCAUGGAAUUUUCCAACGACUGUGAAACUCAAAAUCAACGGUCGACACUUAUGCCAAAAGUUCAAGCACGAUGAUAGGAGAAGAUUUUGUAUUGGAUCGAAGUGAUGGCAGGAUUGGCCGGAAAAGCCUCGGUGGCCUUGAAACUUCUCGACUACGAUUCUCUGUCGACAAUGAGUCAACGACGGUAAGGCUAGGACUUUCGACUUCCUCUGGAGCAAAACAUAAUCAAAUGGACGAAUUUUGGAGUAAUUCCAGUUGGAGGACAUUCGUGAGUCAUGUAGCUUGGUCGUAUUAAAAUUUCAUAUUUUUCUACCAAGCGGUUAUUUUCUGGCAAUAAAAUAAAGGAGCAGUGCGCGGUGCUGGAAUAGUGACGUUUUGGGCUUUUAUUGCGUUUUGGAGCCCAAGAUGACCCCAGAUGGGUUCGUGGCCUCUGGAGAAGUGUUCAUAACGUUUUUAUCUUUAAAACAAACUAUCUUGGCCCGGAUUUGGAGGAGAUUUGAGCCCAAAACGUGGCUGGGCAGAUUAUCCUAAUCCAAUUUGGACUUUAUAUCCUAGUAUUAUUUUAUUUUAAUUAAUUUCCUUGUGGGGAUAGAAAAGCUGGACAGCUUGUUUGUAGGGGGUAUUUAAGUUCUUUU
Prunus avium (sweet cherry) is the source of this 953-nucleotide non-coding RNA. The record is from RefSeq and is a predicted model, not a curated record. NCBI's taxonomy places the organism in Eukaryota, Viridiplantae, Streptophyta, Magnoliopsida, Rosales, Rosaceae.